RNAcentral lists this long non-coding RNA (525 nucleotides) under Citrus sinensis (sweet orange). RNAcentral's name for it is "long non-coding RNA (CSIN_LNC005814)". Lineage: Eukaryota; Viridiplantae; Streptophyta; Magnoliopsida; Sapindales; Rutaceae. The record is from RNAcentral.
AUCAACUAAUUCAAUCGUCAUUAUUAUUAUUUUUGUGAUUAGGGUCUCUCAACCAUGUUCGACAAAGUUUUAACUUAAUUAAUUUACCCUCGCAGGGUAAAAAUAUUGAUGUACCCACAAAAUAUCUUAACUUCAGCAAUUUAAUGUUAUUCAAAAUUAAAUAUUUUUAAAUAAUUUAUGAGUACUAUUUGAUUAAUACAAAAUACAUUUUAUAUAUAAAACCAAUUUGGGAGCUCACCGGUGCGGAGUAAGCAGUUGCAAUAAAAAGCCACAAGAUGACGCCCAAAACAAGUGGUGGAGAUCGUAGCAUAAUUGCGGAAGCCAGACUCUGAAAAUGCAGAUCAGUGAAUCAAAUAAAUAAAGCCUAUACAUCCUUAAUUAGAAGAUAAGUACAGAGAUCAAUAACGAUAAUGAAAGAGAACUUUUUCCUAGCUUGCAACAUUUUCACAUGCUAAGUUUGAGCCAAUUGAAAAAUGACAUCUCAACGGAUUAUUAAUCGAGUGAUUUCUAAUAGUUUCAUUUGGC